UGAUGUAGCUGGGUUAUUUUAAGUGAGGAUUUGGUAAAUAUGGGGCCAAAACAAAUUCGCCAUAUCGCCAUAUUAAUACAUUUACAAUUUUAACACAAGAGUUACAUAUACUACCAACAGUUCUCUUCUUCAUUUAAUUUUUGUUCUAGAAUAAUGAUAAUAAUAGUCUAAACUACCGCGCUUAAAAAAAAAAAAAAAACUCUGACGGGUUGGGCGCCAUCGGAAGAAUAGGAACUUCGGGAAAAAGUCAACGGUUAAUACCCAACAGAGAUACACAGAAGCGAGAUAAUCAUGCUCAAUUAAGCAUCCCCGAAAACAUCUUCAUCACC
Molecule: small RNA, 329 nt
Filed under: Histoplasma capsulatum var. duboisii H88
Lineage: Eukaryota; Fungi; Ascomycota; Eurotiomycetes; Onygenales; Ajellomycetaceae
Description: Histoplasma capsulatum H88 hypothetical RNA
Source: RNAcentral